This 521-nucleotide ribosomal RNA is filed under the name Megaphragma giraulti. RNAcentral's name for it is "partial large subunit ribosomal RNA". Lineage: Eukaryota; Metazoa; Arthropoda; Insecta; Hymenoptera; Trichogrammatidae. The record is from RNAcentral.
AAACCGUUCAGGGGUAAACCUGAGAAACCCAAAAGAUCGAAUGGGGAGAUUCAUCGUCAGCUGCGUUGGCUUGCGUGCGGCUCGCGAUGCUCGUUGGCGUUUCGGCGUUUUCAACGGGUACGCGGUCGCUGCGUUAUGUCCGAUGUUAGUCGGCGUGCACUUCUCCCCUAGUAGGACGUCGCGACCCGUUGGGUGUUGGUCUACGGCCUGCGAGGUUGACUGACGAGCCGCGUUCACGCGCGCGCUUGUCAGACCCGUGGUGCCCGGCCGACUGCCCGGCGGUAAAGAUCGCUAUUCGAAUGGUAUCGAGCCGCAUUUUGAAUGCGUUCAUUUUGGCUCGUCGGCAGGUGAGCCUCGCUUGAAUUUUACGGACCUAGUGCCGUUGUCGAGUGCUUGUCGCUUGCCGUUUCGCCGACGAUGUCCUCGGACGGGCUCUUGUAACGCGCGUUUACUGCGCGUUUACCGGUCGGCGACGCUUCUGCUUUGGGUACUUUCAGGACCCGUCUUGAAACACGGACCAA